GACGAACGCUGGCGGCGUGCCUAAUACAUGCAAGUCGAGCGGACUUUCAAGAAGCUUGCUUUUUGAAAGUUAGCGGCGGACGGGUGAGUAACACGUGGGCAACCUGCCUGCAAGACGGGGAUAACUCCGGGAAACCGGGGCUAAUACCGGAUAAUAUCUUCCUUCGCAUGAAGGAAGGUUGAAAGGCGGCGCAAGCUGCCGCUUGCAGAUGGGCCCGCGGCGCAUUAGCUAGUUGGUGAGGUAACGGCUCACCAAGGCGACGAUGCGUAGCCGACCUGAGAGGGUGAUCGGCCACACUGGGACUGAGACACGGCCCAGACUCCUACGGGAGGCAGCAGUAGCGAAUCUUCCGCAAUGGACGAGAGUCUGACGGAGCAACGCCGCGUGAGCGAAGAAGGUCUUCGGAUCGUAAAGCUCUGUUGUCAGGGAAGAACAAGUACCGUUCGAACAGGGCGGUACCUUGACGGUACCUGACCAGAAAGCCACGGCUAACUACGUG
RNAcentral lists this ribosomal RNA (499 nucleotides) under uncultured bacterium. RNAcentral's name for it is "partial 16S ribosomal RNA". It matches the Rfam family "Bacterial small subunit ribosomal RNA", at positions 28 to 507 of the family's 1533-position model. The record is from RNAcentral.